RNAcentral lists this ribosomal RNA (169 nucleotides) under uncultured bacterium. RNAcentral's name for it is "partial 16S ribosomal RNA". It matches the Rfam family "Bacterial small subunit ribosomal RNA", at positions 338 to 524 of the family's 1533-position model. The record is from RNAcentral.
CCUACGGGAGGCAGCAGUGGGGAAUAUUGGGCAAUGGACGCAAGUCUGACCCAGCCAUGCCGCGUGAGUGAUGAAGGCCUUAGGGUUGUAAAGCUCUUUUAGUAGUGAAGAUGAUGACAGUAGCUACAGAAAAAGCCCCGGCUAACUUCGUGCCAGCAGCCGCGGUAAU